GUUAGGAAUAUUGGACAAUGGGCGCAAGCCUGAUCCAGCCAUGCCGCGUGAGUGAUGAAGGCCUUCGGGUUGUAAAGCUCUUUAGCCGAUGAUUAUAAUGACUGUAGUCGGAAAAUAAGCCCCGGCUAACUUCGUGCCAGCAGCCGCGGUAAUACGAAGGGGGCGAGCGUUAUUCGGAAUCACUGGGCGUAAAGCGUGCGUAGGCGGCUUUGCAAGUUGGGAGUGAAAGCCCAGGGCUCAACCCUGGCAUUGCUCUCAAAACUGCAAGGCUAGAAUUCGGGAGAGGAUAGUGGAAUUGUCAGUGUAGCAGUGAAAUGCGUAGAUAUUGACAGGAACACCAGUGGCGUAAGCGGCUAUCUGGACCGAUAUUGACGCUGAGGCACGAAAGCGUGGGGAUCAAACAGGAUUAGAAACCCGAGUAGUCC
This 425-nucleotide ribosomal RNA is filed under the name uncultured bacterium. RNAcentral's name for it is "partial 16S ribosomal RNA". It matches the Rfam family "Bacterial small subunit ribosomal RNA", at positions 354 to 796 of the family's 1533-position model. The record is from RNAcentral.